RNAcentral lists this ribosomal RNA (255 nucleotides) under uncultured bacterium. Its description in RNAcentral is "partial 16S ribosomal RNA". It matches the Rfam family "Bacterial small subunit ribosomal RNA", at positions 28 to 306 of the family's 1533-position model. The record is from RNAcentral.
GAUGAAUGCUGGCGGCGUGCUUAACACAUGCAAGUCGAGCGGUAAGGCCCUCGGGUACGACGAGCGGCGGACGGCUGAGUAACGCGUGGGAACAUGCCCAAACGUGAGGAAUAAGCUCCAGAAAUGGAGUCUAAUGCCGCAUAUGAUCUUAGGAUUAAAGGAUUAUCCGCUUUGGAGUGCCUGCGUACGAUUAGGUAGUUGGUGAGGUAAUGCUCACCAAGCCUACGAUCGUUAGCUGGUCUGAGAGGAUGACCA